GAUGAACGCUGGCGGCGUGCCUAAUACAUGCAAGUCGAGCGAACGGACGAGAAGCUUGCUUCUCUGAUGUUAGCGGCGGACGGGUGAGUAACACGUGGAUAACCUACCUAUAAGACUGGGAUAACUUCGGGAAACCGGAGCUAAUACCGGAUAAUAUUUUGAACCGCAUGGUUCAAAAGUGAAAGACGGUCUUGCUGUCACUUAUAGAUGGAUCCGCGCUGCAUUAGCUAGUUGGUAAGGUAACGGCUUACCAAGGCAACGAUGCAUAGCCGACCUGAGAGGGUGUCCGGCAACCCGGGACCGGAGACCGGGCCCGACCCCCUAGGGAAGCCAGCAGUGGGAAACCUUCCGCAAUGGGGGAAAGCCUGACGGAGCAAGGCGCCGUGAGUGAUGAAGGUCUCCGAUUCUAAAAACUCUGUUAUUGGGAAGAAAAAUAGGUGAAGGUACUGUGCACAUCUUGACGGUACCUAAUCAGAAAGCCACGGCUAACUACGUG
RNAcentral lists this ribosomal RNA (496 nucleotides) under uncultured bacterium. RNAcentral describes it as "partial 16S ribosomal RNA". It matches the Rfam family "Bacterial small subunit ribosomal RNA", at positions 28 to 507 of the family's 1533-position model. The record is from RNAcentral.